Gasterosteus aculeatus aculeatus (three-spined stickleback) is the source of this 563-nucleotide long non-coding RNA. The record is from Ensembl. Lineage: Eukaryota; Metazoa; Chordata; Actinopteri; Perciformes; Gasterosteidae.
CAGAAACUGUGUUACCAAGCAAGAGACGCAGGAGGAGGACCACAAAACCCUCCUAGCUUCUCUGAUCAAGAAGUUUGAGGAUGACCGAGAGAGUAAACGUCUCGAAUGGAACCAGGAGAGGUCCGACCUCCUUAAGAUCUCAAAACAAUCCAUGGCAAGGGAGGAGGAGUACCAGGAGAACAACAUCUCCUUAAGCUCUCAUGUGGAAGCCCUUCAAUGUCAGAUCAACAAGCCAAAGAAAAAGUGGUACAAGCUAUUCUAAGGCCCGGCUACAGAUCAAGACCAAUGACCCCCACACACAGACACCAAAACGCAUUGCUGUGAGGUCAGUCAACUCCUAAAGUGCACUAAAACGCACAAAAAAAAAAGAAGAAAAUACAUAAACACACACACAAACACACACACAUAGACAACAAAUACAUAAACACACACAACAAAUACAUAAACACACACAGACAAUAAAUACAUAAACACACAGACACAGACAAUAAAUACAUAAACACACACACACACAGACAACAAAUACAUAAACACACACACACAGACAACAAAUACAUAAACAC